This 6283-nucleotide long non-coding RNA is filed under the name Sus scrofa (pig). RNAcentral's name for it is "lncRNA (ENSSSCG00065038360.1)". The record is from RNAcentral. Lineage: Eukaryota; Metazoa; Chordata; Mammalia; Artiodactyla; Suidae.
UUUUUUUUUUUUUUUUUUUUUUUUUUGCUUUUUAGGCUGCGCCUGCAGCAUAUGGAGGUUCCCAGGCUACAGGAUGAAUUGGAGUUGUAGCCACUGGACUACACCACAGCCACAGCAAUGCCGGAUCCACUGGGCAAGGCCAGGGAUCAAACCUUCGUCCUUAUGGAUCCUAGUUGGAUUCAUUUCUGCUGCGCCACAACAGGAACUCCAUCAUUCGUUGUCUUUUUGAUACUAGCCAUUGCGACAGGUAUGAUGUUGCAUCUUUUGCUUUGCAUUUCCCUGAUGAUUCCAAUGUUGAGCAUCUUUUCAUGUGUCUCAGUCCUCUGUAUAUUUUUGAAAGAAUGUCAAUUCAGGUCCUCUGUAUGUAUAUUUUUAAAUCAAAUGUAUGAUCUCUUUGUUUCAUGAAAGCUGAAUUGACAGGAAAAAUGUUUUCUAGUUAACUGAGGUUUCUGAUAAUUUGACUUUUAAUCUCUUGAAGUGUCCUUUUGAUAUAUGUUGGGCCUUUUGCUUUAGACUUUUUAAACUUUCCAGUGACUGGUGAAUCAGAAACACCUUAUGAGUUAUGUCCCCCAGGCACUGAGCUAUAAAAGCAGGAUCACUUCCUUACCCCUAAUUGGGAACUAAAGUAGUUGGAUUGUAUUUAAAAGUCUUUUGGAAGGAAUUGAAUUGAAAAGUAGGUGAACCUAAGCACUCUGAAAGUGAGUGACAGAGAACAAAGGGCAGAUAAAAAGACAAGCAAAAUGAUUUUGCUUCAUACCAGGGAAGACAUUUGGCACUUUCCAUUUAAAAGGCUCUUUGUGACCAUUAAUUAGCUAAUCUAACAAUCUCCUGGUGGAAUACAUCAGCAUUAUCAUCACUUGGUGCAGAUGCAAAACAGGAAAUACUGUAAGAUUCAGGGGCUUUAGCAAGAACUGAAAGGUAAUGAAAUGGCAUGGUAAGAAUGAGAACUGGGUCUCUGUUGGGCAAUUCUAUUCAGAGUCCACCAGGCCGGAGUCUCUGGAGUGUAGCCACCCUAGUGCUCUGUGAUUGCACAAAGGCACCCUGAGGAAUGCCUGACUCUGAUAAGGAAAGAUGAGCUCCAUGCUGCUUUGAAAGCUGAACAGAAUAUGUGAAUCGAUGAGGCAGGGAGAUGGAGAUGCUAUCUUUGCCCCAGAUCUCCAUGGAGAGAAAGACUUGGUUUAGUUUUCUCUGAAAGGGGACACACACUAAGGAAAAUUAGCAAUUGGCCUUAGUAAGGGACGUUACGUUGUCCUUGCCUUACAACAGAGAGUAACAGAGAGGGACCAAGGGAAUGAAGCCUGUGUGGGUUGGUUUUUGUUUUUGCUUUUUGUUUUUUGUCUUUUUAGGGCUGCACCUGCAGCAUAUGGACGUUCCCAGGCUAGGGGUCCAUUCGGAACUAUAGCUGCUGGCUUAUGCCACAGCCACAGCAAUGCCAGAUCCAAGCCGCAUCUGUGACCUACACCACAGCUCAUGGCAACGCCAGAUCCUCAACCCUCCGAGCAAGGCCAGGGAUCGAACCCGCAACCUCCUGGUUCCUAGUCAAAUUCGUUUCCCCUGCUCCACGAAGGGAACUCCAAGCCUGUGUGUUUUGAACUGCAAAUUUCCAGAAUAUGCUUUAAAACAACUCACUGGGGUCAUCAGAAGAAGAAAAAAAAAUCACUGAAGUUUGCCUAAAAAACUGAGAUAAAAAUCUGAGAAGGAGCUGGUUCACUUGAAAGAAGGCCAGAAUUAGUUAACCAUUUCCUCUUCUUCCUCACACUAGCCAGUCAAUUUUCAGUCAAUUUAUUGAAGAAACAAAAUGACAAAAUGCUGUUAAACAGUUUGUAAAGAAAUCAGAUUAGAUGACAGGCGGUUGUUUUUUUUUCCUGAAAUUUGCAAAUAGUCUGUAGUAUUAAGUUCCCCUCUGACAGUCAAAAGGUUUUCCUAUUAUCAAGUUUGUAAAGAAACAAAUGGACUCCUAACAUUCUUACAUCAAAAGAAAUCCAGAUAUAUUAUAAAUUUAAAUGAAAAAAGAAAAGUACCAGAAGAAAAUACAUAUGGCUAAAUAAUGUGGUGAUGGAAAACAUUCAUUUAAGCUUGUCACAUAGAUAAAUAUGUGGAAAAUUAAUAUAUUUUCUAUGUAAACAUGAAAAACACUGUAAAUAGUUAAGACAAAGGAUAAACUUGGAUGUGUGAUGGGAUGGAGGUGUUAGCUAAUGCUAUGGUUGUAAUCACUUUGUAAUAUAUAAAUGUACCAAAUAACUUCCUUGUAUGCUUUAAACCUACACAGUGUUAUAAAGUAAAGCUAAGCAAAAAAUAAAAACAAAAUAAUUUGAAAGAAAAAAAUAAAAAAUAACUUGUAGAAGCAUUUUUAGUGUAUCAUUAAUAUCACCAAUGGAUUUUCAUCAUUAAUAUACAAAGAGUUCCUAAAAAUCAAUGAUAGAUGAAUAUCAAAUAGAAAAAUUGACAAAUAAAAUUAAUAACAAAAGAGGAAAUAUGAUUGGUAAAAUUUUUUAAAUUCCUAACCUUAUUAGUAAUCAAAGAAGAUUUCGUUAAAAUGUAUAAUACAAUAAUUAGACUAACGAGGAAGAAAAAUAGUACGACUAGUGUUAGCAUGCAUUUAAAUAAAAAGUAUAUCCUAAAAAUUGAAUUGGUAGUUAAUAACAAGUGUCUAGGAGGCAAUAUAGCAAUAAACUCUAAAAAUAUACAUGCCUUUUGGCACAGAUAUGCUAUUGAAAGAAACAGAUCUUGAGGGAAAAAAAUCACAAAACACAGAUCUAUGUAUAAAGAUAUUUAACAAAGCAGUGUUCAUAAUAUCCCAAAUAACGGAAACAAUAGUCAUUGAUUGGCUAAGUUAUUAUACAUUGUAUAAGGAAGUACUACAUAGCCAUUAAGAAGAGGAGGAGGAGGGAGCAACAGUUUACUAUCCUAUAAACAACAUUAGAUUAGUUCUGCCAAAGAUGCUGAGUCAAUUCCCAGGGAUCCAUAUAAAUUGGCAAAAACUCUGUGGACCUGACAACCUAGUACUUAUUUAGUCUACACUGAGAGAACUACUUGGUGGUUAUUCUGAGGCAACAUGCUUUGGGAAGAGCUUAAAGCUGCUGCCAUCCUUGCUCCUUUGGCUAUCCUCAGGCUCCAAGGCAAGAUAAUCCUGAAAAUAUUCAUCUAACAAGUACUGACGAAUUAAUUUAUAUUUGGAGAAUGAGAAUCAUCUUUAUUGAAAGAACAGCAUGUAAAUAUUGUAUUCAGUAGUUUCCAACAGGUAUGACCAUGCCUUUUAGUCUUGCUCUAAAGUAGUAAAUUGUGUAGGUACCUUUUCAUAUAAAACAUAUGAGACUCCUCUAAAUACAUACUUAUAUAUAAUAUAUAUAAUACAUAUUUCAAAUUUGUAUAAGUAGAAACUCAAGGAAGUCAUAGAAUUUGCAUAAGCAACAUAGCUAGAAAAGCAAAAACAUGGUGCUUGUGGAGACCACUGGACACAGCUCCAUGUUUGCUGCCUUUUUCUUUUCAUUCUGUAAUCAACCAUUCAAAUACUAUUGCAAGCAGCCCAUUACAUAUUUGAACCUUAGUGGUAUUCCAGAAUUUCCAGAAUUAUGUCAGUAUUAUAGAUAACAGUGAUUAUCUCAAGGGAUACAGUAAAUUCUCCACCUUUCAAAGAUCAGAUUUUUGUAGUUCUGUAAUGUUUUGUUUUCUAAACAAAAACAACAAAGCAUGUUUUGACGUAAAAAAGCAAAGCUCAGACACUUAGGAGAAAAAUGAAAAUGGAGGAGGCCAGGAGUAGUUGAGCUGAGGCUCCUCUGUUAGUGUGGAAAUAACCAACAUGAAUGACAUGUGACAUGUUAUUCAGUAACGGACUGGAGUGCAAUGGCAUUCUCCCUUUCCCUCUAUCAAAUCACUGUGUGUGUGUGUGUGUGUGUGUGUGUGUGUGUGCGCAUGCGUGUAUCUGGAUGAGAACUGUUCACAAUCAGUGUGCAAUUUUAAUCUCUAAAGCUGAACAAUGAACAUAAUCAUUACAGACUUCCUUUUGGAUACAGUUGAAAUGAGGAAAAGAUUUAUCAUGCUUUUCUUCUUUGUGGUCACCAACAUUCAAGUUUGUUUUUAAUCUACAUAUUUCUAAAACUUCUCUGCAAAUGCUCUCCCAUUUCUAGAACACCAAAAGCUUGCCUCCUCAUAUCCUUCCUAACCAUGCCCACUUGAUCAUCCUUCCUUCCUUACCCAUCCCAUCAGACACUUAAUUGUUUAACGCACUGUAACUGAUGCCUUCUUGUUCUAUUUCAGGGAUCAUUUCUCUCAUCAUUCAUUAAGCCUAGAAGUCUAAUACUAGAAGAAACAAUUUUUCCUCCUCUCGAUUUCCUAGAGAAGGAUUUUUGACACCCCUUUUGCGUCUCUCUAUCCCUUUAUUUAGUCUGCUUUCGCCUGAGUUCCCUGGAGCAAUGUUUCUGUUUAAAACCAUCUGGACAAGCUUUGUUCUCUUCGAUCCAUUCCUCUAGGGAGAAGGAUACUUGCAGUGAGCGUUAGUUUUGCUGCUACUCCUAAGGGAAAUGGUUCUUCACCAGGGAAGCUUCCACUAUCUUUUGUUGCCUUGACUGGGUGAUUAAAUCUAACCACCCAGGAUUAGAAAACCCUCUUUCUUAACAGCCCUGAAGCCAUGUCUUCUAGUCUCACCUCUAUGGGUAAUAAAAGAGAAAUUUUGCUUCAUAACCUGAGUAGGGAAAAAAGAUGCUCUUGAUUGUGGCCUUCACAGAUCCUGUUACCCAGCAUAACUCUCAUUUUAAUUUCUAUUCCUCUGGACUUUUUUGGAUUUCAUAGCAUUUAUAAAUCCUUCUCAGGAGUUUCCUGGCAGUUUAGGGGUUAGGAUUUGACAUUUUCACUGCUAGGGUCUGGGUUCAAUCUCUGGUUUGGGAACUGAGAUCCCACUUGAAGCUGCUGCAUGCCACAGCCAAUAGUAGUAGUAGUAAUAAUCUAACUUUCUUUGUCUAGUUUCCUCUGGCUACUGCUUUCCAUUUUCCUUUUUAUUUCUCUGGGUUCUUUGCUUUCUUUCUUCUUCUUUUGGUGGCAACACCAGACUUUUUCUUUUUUUAUUAAUCUUGCCAAACUACAACACCUGUUUCCUCUACUUAGCUGUGGAUUCCUGUGCCAAACCGGUGUAUGAUAUCUAAUACCAACAAAAGAGGUAUUAGAAAAGAAGAGACAAGAAAGAAAACAACAUCGAUGAUUAAAUAGGAUAAUAAAGAUAUUAUUUUAAAUCUAAAAUAAAAGCAUAUUAGUCAAUAAGUGGGUUAUGCCACUUGAGUAGACAUCUGGAAAAAAUAAAUUGGAUUUCUACAUCACGCUUUACACAAAAUAAACAAAGUAGGUUACAUAAUUAAAAUAAUAAGUUAAAUAACACACACUAUAAAAAUAAAUAAAAUAAUAAAACAUCAAAAUUCUCAAAUGAUAGAUUUAAAGUUUGGACUUGAAAAAAUUCUUUUAGUAUGACUUGGGUCAUACUAAAGCUCAAAAAUCAUAAACGAAAAGAUUUUCUAAAUUUAAUUGUAAUAAAAUAAUUUUAAAAUUGUAAUAGUAAAAGGUCUCAAUUAAUAUCAGAUAUUUGACAGUAUUUUUCAAAAAUGACAAGUGCAUGCACCCUUCUUUAUACCAGCCAUUCUAAUCCUAGGAUUCUUUCCACAGGUAUAUAUACUGGGAUAUAUAAGAUAUGACACAUCUAAAAUUUUUUUCAUGUAUUUAAAUGUGUCAUUAAAUGUGAACAUUCAUUUUAGCAUGGUUUAUAUGUACAGUUGACACUUGACAACUUGAAUUUGAACUGGGAGGGUCCAUGUAUGUGUGGAUUUUUUUCAAUAAAAAUAUACUAUAGUACUCUACAGCCCGUGGUUGGUUGAAUCUGCAGAUGCAGAACCACAAAUUUGGAGAAACCAUGGAUGUGGAGGGCUGACUAUAAGGUUAUACUCAGAUUUCAUCUGUGUGACCGGUCAGUGCCCCAAGCCCCAUGUUAUUCAAGGAUCAACCGUACAAAAUAUUGGAGAAUGUAACUGUACUUCGAUAGAGGAUUGAUUCGAUUUUAGUAAAUAAUUGGACAUAAAAAUAAUCGUUCAAGAAACACCAUGGCAAGUUAGUGUUUACUAACAGACUAAUUCACAUAAACUGAUUUACAAUAUAAGUUUUGAAUAAUUUGUUAAAAAAAAUAGUGAAGUAUAGAACAGGAGAUGCAGCAGAUUACCUUGUAGGUUAAAAAGGAAGAUGACGGAAAGGAAGGAAGGAAGAAAGGAAGGAAGGAAGGAAGGAAGGAGAGAGAGAGAGAGAGAGA